RNAcentral lists this ribosomal RNA (1611 nucleotides) under Triticum aestivum (bread wheat). Its description in RNAcentral is "partial small subunit ribosomal RNA". The record is from RNAcentral. Lineage: Eukaryota; Viridiplantae; Streptophyta; Magnoliopsida; Poales; Poaceae.
AUGAGCAUUGCCGAAGGCAUGCCAUCGGUGGAUAUAGAUGGAAGACGGUUACGAUUUCUUCAAGAGGACCGCCCAGAGAGCGACACGUGGCGGCGGUUGAGAGCACGCCAGGUGGCACGCUCGCAGCCCACCCCCAAGUUAUCGCUGGGAGGCUCUCACGGGAAUGCUCGUCAAGCAGUUGCUCCCAGGGAAAGGAAGAAGGUUCUUAGAGUUUAUGGACAACUGAGUGCUUCUAUCGUGAGUCCUGAUGGAGUUCCAAUGGGGCUUUGGACCUUUAAUCAGGCAUUAGCACGCCGAGAGCUGAUGAGGAUGAUAGUGUUGCAUGAAUUGGCAUUCUCAUUGGUGGAGUAUGGUGGAUUUAGAAGAUUUGUCUCUAGUCUAAAUCUCAGCUUCAAGAUGAUAUGUAGAAAAACAGUGAAGGAGGACUGCAUGAAAGCAUUCAAGGAAGAGAAGAGAAUUCUGCAAAGGAUGUUCCAAAACUCCAAAUCCAAGAUUUCUUUGACCACGGACCUGUGGACAUCAAAUCAGACAGUGGGGUACAUUUGCAUCAUAGCUCACUUCAUUGAUGGGGAGUGGAAGCAGCAGAAGAGGAUACUAUUGAAGGCACAUCUCCUGCUUAAGAAGAUGUUACCUGGUGGUGGCAAGUUGUUUCACCAAUGUUGUGCCGCCCAUGUCAUAAAUCUGACAUGUCAAGCAGGAUUGAACUUCCUUGGUCCAGUGAUCAACAUGAUACGUGAAACUGUGAAAUACAUUCGAAGCUCACCAAGUCGAAAGGAAAAAUUUCAAGAAAUCGUUGAGCAACAUGGUGUAUCAUGUGGGAGAACUCCAAGUCUUGAUGUUCCAACUCGCUGGAACUCAACCUACAUGAUGAUUGAUAUAGGAAAAGAGUAUCGCGGAGUGUUUGACUCUUUGGCCAUUCAAGAUAAACAAUAUACCUUCAAGCCAUCUUUUGAGGAUUGGGAAAAUGCCGAAUAUGUUUGCAGGCUACUGAAGGUAUUUUAUGAAGCCACUAAUGUGAUAUCCGGCACAAAAUAUCCAACUGCUAACUUGUAUUUCCAUGAAACGUGUAAAGUGAAGCUGACCUUAGAGCAACAACAUUAUGAAGAGGAUUCUGAGAUGGGCACAACGGUCAAAUAUAUGAAGAGAAAAUUCAGAAGGUAUUGGAAGAUGACAUGGUUGAGCCUUUGGUUGUUCAAUGAAUACCUCCAAUUGAAUGACAAUGGAUCAGAUCCCAUGUCACAAGGAGGUGGUGAUGGCAUGGUUGUACCCAUCCGUCGAAGUGAUCAAUUCAAUAUCCUUGCAUGGUGGCAGACGAACUCAGGUGAAUACCCAACGCUAAGUCGCAUGGCAGCAGAUAUCUUGGCGGCUCCUGCCUCUGCGGUGGCAUCUGAGCCCGCCUUCAGCACAGGGAAGAGAGUCCUAUCAGAUUUUCAAAGUCGAAUGACCGCAACGACACUUGAAGCUCUUGUUUGCUUACAAGAUUGGAUAAGGACAAACGUUUAUUCCAGGGAACUAUUUGCAAGAUGCAGCCCAAACAUAUAUCGAGGACUGAUGCUUGUUGGAGCAAUUGAUGUUAAACCUCAAGCAGAUGGUGAAGCAAAGAUAUGUUAG